GGGCUCGUAGCUCAGUCAGGCAGAGCACCGGGCUUUUAACCCGAUGGUCGAGGGUUCAAAUCCCUCCGAGCCCG
This 74-nucleotide transfer RNA is filed under the name Candidatus Methanoperedens nitratireducens. RNAcentral describes it as "tRNA-Lys". It matches the Rfam family "tRNA". Rfam says of the family: Transfer RNA (tRNA) molecules are approximately 80 nucleotides in length. Their secondary structure includes four short double-helical elements and three loops (D, anti-codon, and T loops). Further hydrogen bonds mediate the characteristic L-shaped molecular structure. tRNAs have two regions of fundamental functional importance: the anti-codon, which is responsible for specific mRNA codon recognition, and the 3' end, to which the tRNAs corresponding amino acid is attached (by aminoacyl-tRNA synthetases). tRNAs cope with the degeneracy of the genetic code in two manners: having more than one tRNA (with a specific anti-codon) for a particular amino acid; and 'wobble' base-pairing, i.e. permitting non-standard base-pairing at the 3rd anti-codon position. RNAcentral also lists the same sequence under 3 other names. The record is from RNAcentral. Lineage: Archaea; Methanobacteriati; Methanobacteriota; Methanomicrobia; Methanosarcinales; Candidatus Methanoperedentaceae.